This 69-nucleotide transfer RNA is filed under the name Babylonia areolata. RNAcentral describes it as "tRNA-Arg". Lineage: Eukaryota; Metazoa; Mollusca; Gastropoda; Neogastropoda; Buccinidae. The record is from RNAcentral.
ACAUAAAAAGCGAAAAAGUUGCAUACGGUUUCGGCCCGUAAUUUGGGAGUGUGAGUCUUCCUUUAUGUU